RNAcentral lists this long non-coding RNA (368 nucleotides) under Mytilus galloprovincialis (Mediterranean mussel). The record is from RNAcentral. Lineage: Eukaryota; Metazoa; Mollusca; Bivalvia; Mytilida; Mytilidae.
GGAAACAGUAGUUAUUAAUGGAGGAGGCUGUAUAUAUUAAAAUUUAUCACCUUUGUAGUCAUUGCAAAGUAAAAUGCUUGAAUAAUUAUAUCAUAUCAUUGACUAAUAAUGAUCAGAAUAAUAUAAGAAGAUGUGGUAUGAGUGCCAAUAAGAAAAAUCUCCAUCUAAGUCACUAUUCGUAAAAGUAAACCAUCAUAGGCCAAAGUACGGUCUUCAACACGGAGCAUUGGCUCACACUGAACAACAAACUAUAAAGGCCCCCCAAAACGAUAUCCAUGUUAUUACUAGUAUAUAUAUUACUAAGAAAAUUGAGUAAAUUGGUGUUAUACCUAAGAAAAAAAUCAACCCUGCUAAUAUAGCUAUAACCG